GAUAAAAAAGGGAAUGAAGUUCUCCCAUAGUAAUGAUACUAAAACCGCUUAUAUAAGCUGAUGACUUCUGCAUUUUU
Regulatory RNA element from Clostridium sp. CAG:230, 77 nucleotides. It matches the Rfam family "Fluoride riboswitch aptamer (crcB RNA motif)". The record is from Rfam. Lineage: Bacteria; Bacillati; Bacillota; Clostridia; Eubacteriales; Clostridiaceae.